This 897-nucleotide long non-coding RNA is filed under the name Homo sapiens (human). Its description in RNAcentral is "HSALNT0179386". Lineage: Eukaryota; Metazoa; Chordata; Mammalia; Primates; Hominidae. The record is from RNAcentral.
CUUUCUUUUCUAUAACUGUAUGUAAUUUCUGUUUUGAGCUAUCAUCCUAUCUGGUGGUAAGUCAAAACAGAGCUAAAACAGAGCAUGUCCAUUUGGUCAUGUCUGCUUUUCCCAAGAGGUGCUUCUAAGUGUUAAGUGAGAGUCGAUAGUGCAUUUGAUCUAUGAGUUUAUGUCCCUGAGCUGGAAUCUGUUGAGAUGUCCAGUGGUUCUUUGGGCCCUCAAUUGCCUGCCCACUCAGGUUUCUAAAUUAUUCUCCAUUCAUAUCUGAAAUCUCCUUUAGAGCCUGUGGGUUUCAUUCCUACAUCUGUGCCAGUUUUGAUCUCUCAGGAAUGAUUCAGCAAGUUCAGUGGUGCACUGAGUUACAGGCAGGAAACUGGGAGGCUCUCUAAAGGCAUACUUGCCUACACAUAACAGGCCAUCCUUUCUUCUCAUACGUCUCCCUAGCUUCCUGGGCACAAGGAACAUCAUUCCUUCUCAUGCAUGGUCUGCAGUGAUGGGAACUGAAUGCACCAGCAGCAGCCAUAUGAGCUUGGAGGCAGAUCCUGCUCCAAUUGAGACUCAGCUGAGACUGCAGCCCCAGUUGACACCUUGAUUGCAGCUUCAUAAGAUCCUGAAUCAGGGAAUCCAUCUCAGCUGUGCCUAGACUCCUAACCCGUAGAAAUGCGAAAGGAAGAGCAAGCUACUCUCACCUGGGAGGUCCAGCUGGUGAAGACCACAAGAGACUGUCUCCAGUGGGAAAGAGCCUUGAGGGAGCUCAUUUACUGCUUCCACAUGUGUGGUCACAGAAAGAGGCAUCAUCUAUGAACAAGAAUACAGGCCCUCACCAGACACCAAAUCUGCUGGUUUCUUGAUCUUGGACUUCCCAACCUCUGGAGCUGUGAGGAAUAAAUUUCUGUU